AGUGAACGCUGGCGGUAGGCCUAACACAUGCAAGUCGAACGGCAGCACAGUAAGAGCUUGCUCUUACGGGUGGCGAGUGGCGGACGGGUGAGGAAUACAUCGGAAUCUACUUUUUCGUGGGGGAUAACGUAGGGAAACUUACGCUAAUACCGCAUACGACCUACGGGUGAAAGCAGGGGAUCUUCGGACCUUGCGCGAUUGAAUGAGCCGAUGUGGGAUUAGCUAGUUGGCGGGGUAAAGGCCCACCAAGGCGACGAUCCGUAGCUGGUCUGAGUGGAUGGUCAGCCACACUGGAACGGAGACACGGUCCAGACUCCUACGGGAGGCAGCAGUGGGGAAUAUUGGACAAUGGGCGCAAGCCUGAUCCAGCCAUACCGCGUGGGUGAAGAAGGCCUUCGGGUUGUAAAGCCCUUUUGUUGGGAAAGAAAAGCAGCAGGUUAAUACCCCGCUGUUCUGACGGUACCCAAAGAAUAAGCACCGGCUAACUUCGUG
RNAcentral lists this ribosomal RNA (492 nucleotides) under uncultured bacterium. RNAcentral's name for it is "partial 16S ribosomal RNA". It matches the Rfam family "Bacterial small subunit ribosomal RNA", at positions 29 to 507 of the family's 1533-position model. The record is from RNAcentral.